UCUUGGUCAUUUAGAGGAAGUAAAAGUCGUAACAAGGUCUCCGUUGGUGAACCAGCGGAGGGAUCAUUACCGAGUUUACAACUCCCAAACCCCUGUGAACAUACCACUUGUUGCCUCGGCGGAUCAGCCCGCUCCCGGUAAAACGGGACGGCCCGCCAGAGGACCCCUAAACUCUGUUUCUAUAUGUAACUUCUGAGUAAAACCAUAAAUAAAUCAAAACUUUCAACAACGGAUCUCUUGGUUCUGGCAUCGAUGAAGAACGCAGCAAAAUGCGAUAAGUAAUGUGAAUUGCAGAAUUCAGUGAAUCAUCGAAUCUUUGAACGCACAUUGCGCCCGCCAGUAUUCUGGCGGGCAUGCCUGUUCGAGCGUCAUUUCAACCCUCAAGCCCUCGGGUUUGGUGUUGGGGAUCGGCGAGCCCUUGCGGCAAGCCGGCCCCGAAAUCUAGUGGCGGUCUCGCUGCAGCCUCCAUUGCGUAGUAGUAAAACCCUCGCAACUGGAACGCGGCGCGGCCAAGCCGUUAAACCCCCAACUUCUGAAUGUUGGCCUCGGAUCAGGUAGGAAUACCCGCUGAACUUAAGCAUAUCAAUAAGCGGAGGAA
Molecule: ribosomal RNA, 598 nt
Filed under: uncultured fungus
Lineage: Eukaryota; Fungi
Description: eukaryotic LSU rRNA
Rfam family: 5.8S ribosomal RNA (bases 218-371)
Source: RNAcentral